CCCUUAGAUGUCCUGGGCCGCACGCGCGCUACACUGAUGCAUUCAACGAGUUUUACCUUGGCCGAGAGGCCUGGGCAAUCUUUUAAACCUGCAUCGUGAUAGGGAUAGAUUAUUGCAAUUAUUAAUCUUGAACGAGGAAUUCCUAGUAAACGCAAAUCAUCAAUUUGCAUUGAUUACGUCCCUGCCCUUUGUACACACCGCCCGUCGCACCUACCGAUUGAAUGGUCCGGUGAAGCCUCGGGAUUGUGGCCAGUUCACUUUAUUGGGAGUUGGCUGUGAGAACCUGUCUAAACCUUAUCAUUUAGAGGAAGGUGAAGUCGUAACA
This 325-nucleotide ribosomal RNA is filed under the name uncultured eukaryote. RNAcentral describes it as "partial 18S ribosomal RNA". It matches the Rfam family "Eukaryotic small subunit ribosomal RNA", at positions 1470 to 1796 of the family's 1831-position model. The record is from RNAcentral.